RNAcentral lists this transfer RNA (78 nucleotides) under Desulfovibrio sp. OttesenSCG-928-A18. RNAcentral's name for it is "tRNA-Pro". It matches the Rfam family "tRNA". From Rfam's summary of the family: Transfer RNA (tRNA) molecules are approximately 80 nucleotides in length. Lineage: Bacteria; Pseudomonadati; Thermodesulfobacteriota; Desulfovibrionia; Desulfovibrionales; Desulfovibrionaceae. The record is from RNAcentral.
CGGGAUGUGGCUCAGUCUGGCUAGAGCGCAGCGUUCGGGACGCUGAGGCCGGAGGUUCGAAUCCUCUCAUCCCGACCA